GCCGGCCUGAAGUAUUUGCCAGACGAUUUGUCCUCGAGCCGAUAAUGCAGUACCCGGAGAGCACCUCCGCGGUGGUUGAGCAAGCCUGGCUUGAACCGGGAAGCCUGAAGCCGCGAGGUGGUCACCACCUUGAGCCGCAAGGGUUCAAGGGCUUAUUCGUCAGCGGUGCCACGGGCUUCUC
Molecule: non-coding RNA, 181 nt
Filed under: Luminiphilus sp.
Lineage: Bacteria; Pseudomonadati; Pseudomonadota; Gammaproteobacteria; Cellvibrionales; Halieaceae
Description: 6S RNA
Rfam family: 6S / SsrS RNA
About the family: E. coli 6S RNA was the first non coding RNA to be sequenced, but its function was unknown until recently. It consists of 184 nucleotides that fold into an extended hairpin structure with a large single-stranded internal bulge.
Source: RNAcentral